RNAcentral lists this long non-coding RNA (1481 nucleotides) under Olea europaea subsp. europaea. Lineage: Eukaryota; Viridiplantae; Streptophyta; Magnoliopsida; Lamiales; Oleaceae. The record is from RNAcentral.
UGAAGACUUACAAACGGAUAGCAGCAAGUGUAUACUGGGAGGGAAUGAAAUCAGACAUAAGCAAGUAUGUUAGACAGUGUACGAUUUGUCAGCAAAACAAAGACAGUGCUCUCUCACCGGCAGGCCUUUUACAACCACUCGCUAUUCCAAAUCAGGUUUGGGAAGAUAUUGCCAUGGAUUUCAUCGAGGGGUUACCGAAGUCUGGGAAUAUGGACACCAUUUUGGUGGUGGUUGAUAGACUGAGUAAAUAUGGGCACUUUAUUGGGCUCAAACACCCUUUUACGGCUGCUAGUGUGGCGAGAAUUUUCAUCAAGGAAGUGGUACGACUCCAUGGAGUACCACAUUCUAUCGUUUCGGAUCGAGAUAAAAAUUUUGUGAGUCAUUUUUGGGAAGAGUUAUUCAGGUUGCAAGGAACUAAGGUCAGCCGAAGUACAGCGUACCAUCCCCAGUCCGAUGGACAGACAGAGGUACUGAACCGCACAUUAGAAACUUAUCUUCGAUGUUUCACUUCAUCUUAACCUAAAUCUUGGUUCAGUUGGCUACCCUGGGCAGAAUUGUGGUACAACACGUCCUUUCAUACAGCCACCAAAGCUACUCCCUUCCAAAUCGUAUAUGGGAGAGAACCCCCAACUUUGGUGAGGAUUGAAAGAGGGUGCACGGCAGUUUCAGUGGUAGAACAACAGUUAAGGGAACAUGAUCGAAUACUAGAUGAGUUAAAGGCACAACUACUCCGAGCUCAAGCUAAAAUGAAAGGCAUAGUCGACGCUAAACGCAGGGAUAUCCAGUUCGAGGUUGGGGACUUGGUAUACUUGAAGAUCAGACCCUAUUGCCGCAAGACUUUGGCUACCAGGAAUAAUGAAAAAUUGGCUCCAAGAUUCUAUGGUCCAUUUGUAGUGGAAAAGAGGAUUGGACCAGUGGCGUAUAAGCUGUCCUUACCCCCCACCUGUAGCAUUCACCCGGUUUUUCAUGUUUCACAGUUGCGCAAGGCAGUGGGGGCAACACGUGCUGUAGAUGAAGUGCCUAAUCAACUGAAUGAGGAGUUAGAAAUGUUGGUGGAACCUGGAGCAGUGCUGGGGGUGCGACCUGGGUCAGGUCACAACAUUAGAGGACUGGAUGUGUUGAUUCAAUGGAAGGGGUUGCCACCGCUGGAAGCGACGUGGGAAUCGUAUGAUCUGCUGAAACAGCAAUUUCCUUCCUUUCACCUUGAGGACAAGGUGAGUCUUGUUGGGGGGAGUAAUGUUAGACCCACAAUACAAGUCACUUAUCAGAGGCGCAAGGGCCAAAGAGGAAACACACAGAGAGAAUAAGCUAUGUGCACGGUUACAUAAUAUGGUUGGGGAUAACAGUCUAGAAGCAGAACAACCUUUAAAUAAGAGAAGAAAUGGACACCUGAGGAGGAGAAAUUGGCAUCCAACAGGAGAGUGGUGAACCUCUCAAAAGUUCACAACAAUAUCUUAUCAUUUCCUUCUGUUCUUUGUUAU